UACGUAGGGUGCAAGCGUUGUCCGGAAUUAUUGGGCGUAAAGAGCUCGUAGGCGGUUUGUCGCGUCUGGUGUGAAAAUCCAGGGCUUAACCCUGGACCUGCAUCGGGUACGGGCAGACUAGAGUGCGGUAGGGGAGAUCGGAAUUCCUGGUGUAGCGGUGAAAUGCGCAGAUAUCAGGAGGAACACCGAUGGCGAAGGCAGGUCUCUGGGCCACUACUGACGCUGAGAAGCGAAAGCAUGGGGAGCGAACAGG
This 253-nucleotide ribosomal RNA is filed under the name uncultured bacterium. Its description in RNAcentral is "partial 16S ribosomal RNA". It matches the Rfam family "Bacterial small subunit ribosomal RNA", at positions 524 to 776 of the family's 1533-position model. The record is from RNAcentral.